RNAcentral lists this ribosomal RNA (497 nucleotides) under uncultured bacterium. RNAcentral's name for it is "partial 16S ribosomal RNA". It matches the Rfam family "Bacterial small subunit ribosomal RNA", at positions 28 to 507 of the family's 1533-position model. The record is from RNAcentral.
GAUGAACGCUGGCGGCGUGCCUAAUACAUGCAAGUCGAGCGAACGGACGAGAAGCUUGCUUCUCUGAUGUUAGCGGCGGACGGGUGAGUAACACGUGGAUAACCUACCUAUAAGACUGGGAUAACUUCGGGAAACCGGAGCUAAUACCGGAUGAUAUUUUGAACCGCAUGGUUCAAAAGUGAAAGACGGUCUUGCUGUCACUUAUAGAUGGAUCCGCGCUGCAUUAGCUAGUUGGUAAGGUAACGGCUUACCAAGGCAACGAUGCGUAGCCGACCUGAGAGAGGGAUCGGCCACACUGGAGCGGAGACGCGGACCAGACUCCUACGGGAGGCAGCAGUAGGGAAUCUGACGCAAUGGGCGGAAGCCUGACGGAGCAACGCCGCGUGAGUGAUGAAGGUCUUCGGAUCGUAAAACUCUGUUAUUAGGGAAGAACAGAUGUGUAAGUAACUGUGGACAUCUUGACGGUACCUAAUCAGAAAGCCACGGCUAACUACGUG